CUUUAACCAUAGGGUACUAAAGUGAGAAAGUGCAAAACCACAUAGGUGAUAUUUAAAGUUUACCCAUAAUAAUAUAAUAGCAAACUCUAUAAAUAUAUAUUAUUCGUAAUUUUAUAUUCUUUUAAAAAUAUAGAAACUCAACAUACUUGUAAUUUUAAAAUUACGUAUCGUUAAUAAUACUGUACGGAUCUUAAAGCAAUACGACGGUUAAAAAGUCAUAGACAUAAAUACUGUUGUACUUUUAAAAUUAUUU
This 253-nucleotide long non-coding RNA is filed under the name Ananas comosus (pineapple). Its description in RNAcentral is "long non-coding RNA (ACOM_LNC037432)". Lineage: Eukaryota; Viridiplantae; Streptophyta; Magnoliopsida; Poales; Bromeliaceae. The record is from RNAcentral.